This 553-nucleotide ribosomal RNA is filed under the name uncultured bacterium. Its description in RNAcentral is "bacterial SSU rRNA". It matches the Rfam family "Bacterial small subunit ribosomal RNA", at positions 369 to 916 of the family's 1533-position model. The record is from RNAcentral.
GAGGGGGCGAGCCUGAUCCAGCAUGCCGCGUGCAGGAUGAAGGCCCUCGGGUUGUAAACUGCUUUUGUACGGAACGAAAAGCCUGGGGCUAAUAUCCCCGGGUCAUGACGGUACCGUAAGAAUAAGCACCGGCUAACUACGUGCCAGCAGCCGCGGUAAUACGUAGGGUGCAAGCGUUAAUCGGAAUUACUGGGCGUAAAGCGUGCGCAGGCGGUUUUGUAAGACAGUGGUGAAAUCCCCGGGCUCAACCUGGGAACUGCCAUUGUGACUGCAAAGCUAGAGUGCGGCAGAGGGGGAUGGAAUUCCGCGUGUAGCAGUGAAAUGCGUAGAUAUGCGGAGGAACACCGAUGGCGAAGGCAAUCCCCUGGGCCUGCACUGACGCUCAUGCACGAAAGCGUGGGGAGCAAACAGGAUUAGAUACCCUGGUAGUCCACGCCCUAAACGAUGUCAACUGGUUGUUGGGUCUUAACUGACUCAGUAACGAAGCUAACGCGUGAAGUUGACCGCCUGGGGAGUACGGCCGCAAGGUUGAAACUCAAGAAAAUUUUGACGG